Long non-coding RNA from Hippocampus zosterae (dwarf seahorse), 469 nucleotides. RefSeq lists it as uncharacterized. The transcript is spliced from 2 exons. Lineage: Eukaryota; Metazoa; Chordata; Actinopteri; Syngnathiformes; Syngnathidae. The record is from RefSeq and is a predicted model, not a curated record.
GUCCUCCUCCUCCAAUGGCGACAAGCUAGCGCGUGAGCAAGCUGACGUGCUAACUACGAUCGAAGCUUUGAGAGCCUGUCACUUAAAGGCAAUUAAAUAGCUCCAAAUAUCACCCGGAUGAACACAGCACCAGAAAUAUGAAUAUUGUGUUUGCACUGAAGUCACAAACUCAGUUUUUGAACGGCAAUUCCGUUCCAGCGGUUCCAAAUCGAAACAUGUUACUUCUUAAAAAUACUAGAACUGACCCUUUCAGCACUACCAGGCGCGGUGGCCAAGUGGUAAGGCGUCGGUCUCGUAAACCGAAGAUCGCGGGUUCGAACCCCGUCCGUGCCUUGGAGGUUGUGAUUAACUAAAUCCUUUUUAACCGAAAGUCACAUUCUAUUGUGCUGAUGAGCAACAAAAACGAAAACUCAAACCCAAGUAGCUGAAAUUUGAAUAGCAUACAGUUUUUCCCAAUAAACUUUCAAAA